Long non-coding RNA from Myxocyprinus asiaticus (Chinese sucker), 7502 nucleotides. RefSeq lists it as uncharacterized. The transcript is spliced from 4 exons. Lineage: Eukaryota; Metazoa; Chordata; Actinopteri; Cypriniformes; Catostomidae. The record is from RefSeq and is a predicted model, not a curated record.
CAAACGUUUCUUGGCCACAUUUUCGAUUCGUACGUUGGUGAGUUAGCAUCUAAAACUUUUGUCUUUUGUUCAGUAAUAUUUACUUGAAGGUUUUUAUUACGUUUGGUAAUGUGUUUGGAAAUCAUGACCAUGAAAGGAAACUAUCAGAAGGAAAUUAAGACCACGCCUGAAAAUAAGAAAUGGUCCAAAUCCAAGAGGAGAACAUAUCUGCGUGCGAAUAUGGGGAAAGCCAGUGUCCUAACACACAGUUGCGGGACAACACGACGGAUCCGGUCAUCCAGGAGGUCUCCGCUGAAUCCACACCUUGUGGACAGUGUUGCUGCUUGGAAGGAUCACAAUCGUUCUGUACCAUAUGGUGCCAUGGCACCGAGAAACACCACACAGUAUUUAAUGGACUUGGUGUACGCCGAGCGCCUGGAUGUUUCAACGGAGGCAUGUGAUGUAAGCCCUGAUUUCUCAAAGCAGAAUCAUGUUUCAUUUCAUGAGAGCAUUUUCUCAUGGUCAGACUCUGAUUUCGACAGAUCGUUGGACUUUCAACAGCGGGACUUCGAGAACGAGCUCUUCAGGAAUGAAAUCUGACGUAGUCAUCGAAACCUGACUUGAUGUUGUCGCAACGAGACGGCCGGGCAGCUGUGAGACCAUAGACCGUAAUAUCAUUGCGCAGACUCCAACUCAGGGAGGCAGGAGGCUCUGCGUCACAGCUGCGUGAUGACGUGCCUGUGCCACGCCCCCAGCGCGGUCACUAGUACCACGUGACCAGCAGGUAAACCCACUCCACUCUUUCAGGUGUACGUGGUGUAAGUGCAAAGUAACGUGCUGUCGCAAUGUAAUUUGUGAAAAUGUGCAUGCACUGUUCUGCCAUCGGAUGCAUGUGUUUGAGAGACUUUUACAGGUUGCUGAUCCUCCUUGGUGGCUCUCAGCCAGACUGUGCAACGCACUCAUCCUUGGGACAAAGUCGCAUAGCUUCCUGGUCAUCACAGUGUUGGGGCGUUCUCAAAAACCCAUGUGGCCAACAGGUGCACGUUCCUGACUGACUACUACCACCAGGCGGCGCUACAUUGCCACACAAGAGUUAUAGCUGUUUGGCAGAUGUUCGGGAGGGAGCAUUGAAAAGGAUUUGAGAAUCAGCAGUCACAUCCUGGAUGACUUGACACAGCCUUCCACCCUGAGGCCAAACACCAGUCAGUAAAAUAAGAUAAUGGUAUGUCCCCUUAGAAGCAAUGCUGUUAUUUUUGCAAAACAAGCAUCUUAAAAACAAAAAUUUAAUACAAUCUGCAAACCUGGUACAGGAGCUUUUGCUAAAUAAUCACUGAUAUGCAUAAAAACAUGCAUGUGUUUAGAAAGAGAAAAACUGAACCUGCUUUGACCUUCACAGAGAUGGGAAGAGACAGGUGCCUGUGGUGUUGUGGAUGGACACACCCAUGGACUGGACUGGUCAUGUUCUUAUUAGUUUGAUAAAAGCAAACCUGCUAUUCAAUUUCUUCCUGCUGUACUGUUCGACAACCAUAAUAAGUCCAGUCAGAGUUUAACUGAUCCAGUGUUGGUGUUCAAGUCAACACAAAGCAUUUUGCAGUGAUUUAACUUUUGCAAUGAGACAUACUUCUAAGUGAAAUAGGAUGUUUAACAAGAAAAUGUUUUGGGACGUGACUUGAUUUUUUCAGUAGGGAAUUGAUUGGACCUUGAAAAGUUGUCAGGUGGCAGGAGAGCAAGGACCGAAUAUUAAGAUAAUUUGGUGGUGUCAGGCAACAAUGAAAGCUGUUUCAAGCGCAAAUUACAAAGACAAACCUAUACCGACAAAUAAUAAGCAAUGAUGAACCUUGCACAGUAAGACCAGUAACAAUUUAACCAGUAACCAAAAGACACAGUAACCAGUAAUAAUGAAAGUAAAUAGUUAUUUUUUAUUUCAUGUGACUUUAAAUGUUAGUUGUGAUGGCUUUGUUAAAGGUGCACUCAGUAUUGUUUUUCCCAUUAAAUUUUUUUUUUUUACUCCUAAAGAAAUGAAUUGUAAUUUUGAAACAUGUAUAAAAUCAUGACCACUCACUUGAGAUGAAGACUCUAGUCAUAUCAGUAACCUUAUAAAAGCUGUUUUAUUCUACAUGGGGCAGGGGUGCCCUCAUGGAGGCUGCCAUUUUAGAAUCACAUGACCAACUGAAUGCUACUCGCUUAAUCUCAGUAACGUCUUGUUAUUGGACACUUUCACUCUUGAAUUAAUCAUGGCUGAUUGUGAAUAGUGAAUUUCUACAAUGGCAUCUGAAACUGAAAACAAUUGAUUUGGAAUGAUGCUGCAUCCACACUACUAGGUGUCACUGUAAGCCCAAGAUGACACAAGCAAAAAGUUACUGAGUGCACCUUUUAAAGGAAUAGUUCACCCAUAAAUUUAAAUUCUUUGAAUUAAAUUUGAAUUAAAUUUUUUUUUUAUAUUAAAUUAAACUUUGAUCAUUUACUCACCCUCAUGACGUUCCAUCCAAAGUGAAUUUCUUUCUUCUGCAGAACACAAAGGAGGAAUUUGAAAGAAUGUUCCAUUCAUUGAAUUCAAUGGCAGUUGAUUGUGACUUAUUAUAACUUAAAAGUGUCAUAGAAGUAGUCCAUACAACUUGUGCAUAUUUAAAUAGGUUUUGGUGGAAAAAACAACCUGAAAUUUAAGUUAUUAUACAGUGACAGUUUUGACUUCUGUAAUAGCAGAUCACUUCGAGUGCAUAAGAAAAGGUUGUUCAUGUGUACACAUGAGAAUCUGUACUGUUUUUGCUUGGAUAAGCAUCAGUCAUUGUGAGCCAUUUUUGGAUGACCAUUUAAAUCUGCAUUGAAAUCAGGCAUAUUUUAUGUGACAGAUGCAGUUGUCUUUGAAAUCAAGCUGUUUUCCUUUAUGUGAGCUUAUGGAAGGCAAUCAGGUAUGUCAAGAGCAGUGACGAUUUCUCCGAGGAGGCAAAGGAGGCAGUGCCUCCUCAAAAAAUAAACGAGUGUACAUAAAUAAAACAAAUAGAAUAUUACGAAAUGUGAGCUCAAAUAAUGUGUAUAGCAGUCAUCUUUCUAAAGUCACUCUGUCAAUGAGCGAAACAAGCGGAUAAAGUUUCAGAGGGAGGCAGCAUCUGUCAAGCCUCCCUUCAGCUCAUUGCAAUACAGCAAAAAGUAAUGUGAGGGGAGACAUUGAGUCUGAUCAGGGCUGAUUCGUUAAAUAUGCUGUCAGUCAAUCAAUCCAAAAAUGCCUGACUUUCAUACUCUCAUCCUCACAGCGGGUCUCCGCAGAUCGCUAUGAAAGGGAUGAACUGGUGUCAGUGGAGAAACUAUUUGCACAGUAAACAACUAACCGGCAUGGACAACAGCACUUUUUGUCACGUCCAAAUCAUAAUGAACUUGAAAUGACUUGAAACAUGAAAUGGUGUGCUGGUGAGCCAUGUGAGCGCUUGCUCUUAAAUAUGGCAGCUCGUAAAUAAGUAUUUCAUUAUUAUUUAGAGUGUAUGUUAAAAGGUAUUUCAUAUGCCUUCCUGUACAGAAAUCUGAUAUAUGGCAAUUAACAUAUACAGUAUAUAAAACUAUAGUUCAUUUUGUUUGGGUAUAUAUGCGCAUAUAGCCUAUUCAAAUGAGAUGAUAAUAAACUAUGAUUUAAGGAAAAUAAAGGUUACAUAUAGGACAACAGCCAUUUUUAGUAUUUUGUUAUUUUGUUAAUAUGUUGUUGCAUUUAUGAGCAAGUAUGCAACUUUUUUUAUUUCAUGUAUUGUUAUGUAGGCCUAUUUUUUAUAUCAUAUGUUGUGUUAAAUCAGAAUUCAGAUUUGUAUGGGUUUAACCUGAAAGCUAUGUGAAUGUCAAAUGGAAUUGAAAUAGGAAUUUCCACUGGACUGAGAUGGUACGUGUGUUCAGGGUCUGUGGUGCUUUCUACUCCAAGAUCCCUUAAAAAACACAGUUGUGACAUGACAAAUUUGAGACUUGGAUCCGCUGAAAAACUGAUAUUGAUUUGAACGCUUUGAACUGAAUAUUUUGCCUUGACCCAUUUGAGGCCCUAAAUCUCAAUCGCUGUGGCCAUUUUAAUGAAUUUUUGUACUGGAAAUAGGCCACGGGUGUGGGGAGCAGGGGCUUUGACGUGAGCACGCGCUCCUCCGGGAGCAACUUUCCCCUUCAACCUUGCCUCAUUAGUCUAACGGGUCAGUUGCAGAGCUGUUGUGUCACAUCUAUUUCAGUCCACCUAAAGUCCAAUGUGCCCCCUCAACUUAUCUUCCUGUAUUCGCCAUUACCCCCUCGCCACCCAAGAGACAAGAUGGAAAAGAUUUGAUUGGCCCCUGCCCCAUCGUCAUCAGGAAGACAAGUUGGCAAGGAGGAAUUGGACACUGAUGUGGCUGGCUAACUAUGUCAAGGACGCUAGAACCCAACCUGGUACAGUUCACCUGUGAGAGACAUGAGAGAUGAACUGACCCACUAAACAGCUACUUGCAUACUCAGUCCUGCUCUUCAGUCUUCUGAUUCCCUUCAAAUGAAUGUAUUUAUAAGUUGGGGUUCAAAAGUCUGGGUUCACAUUGGAAAUCUAGAGUACAAAAUCUAAUUUAAACUUGGAAAUAAGGUUUUGGACAAAUAAGCAUUAUGAUGUAAAAUGAAUAAGAAAUCUUGAAGAUAGGGGGCCUGGGUAGCUCAGCGAGUUUUGAUGCUGACUACCAUCCCUGGAGUCACGAGUUUGAAUCCAGGGUGCGCUGAGUGACUCCAGCCAGGUCUCCUAAGCAACCAAAUUGCCCCAGUUGCUAGGGAGGGUAGAGUCACAUGGGGUAACCUUCUCGUGGUCGCGAUUAAGUGGUUCUCGCUCUCAAUGGGGCACGUGGUAAGUUGUGUGUGGAUCGCGGAGAGUAGCAUGAGCCUCCACGUGUUGUGAGUCUCCGCAGUGUCAUGCACAACGAGCCACAUGAUAAGAUGAGUGGACUGACUGUCUCAGAAAGCGGAGGCAACUGAGACUUGUCCUCCACCACCCGAAUUGAGGUGAGUAACCACGCCACCAUGAGGACCUAGUAAGUAGUGGGAAUUGGGCAUUCCAAAAUUGGGGGGAAAAGAAGUCAUGAGGAUUUUCUAAAAAUUCUAUGUCACUAAUCAAAUACACAAAUUAGUGAGAUUCAACAUGUUAUCUGACCUUUUGUUUGUACAAAUGGUGAGAUUUCUUUGCUUUCUUUGAAGCACACAAGAUGCUCUUUGGAAAAUUCUCAAAUCAUGCUGUAUACUGUAACAUGGAUCAUCAGGUGUUGCACAAACUUGUGCAGUCCAUGCCAGCUUGAGUGCAUGUUGUCAUAGAAUUUCAAUGUUUGUUAAAGCCAACAUGAUCACACAGGAAGUGAGUAUGUUGCUUCAGAAUGUUCCAGUACACUGAUAUUGACCCCAUUAUGCUGAGUUACUGACAAGUGCCAUCUCCCAUCAGAGACUGUAUUUUUGCAUCGGUUCAAGUGUAUUCACCUACUCCUGUGAUGCGACAGAUAGACGGUGUUCUGCCAGCAAUGUGGGAGACCUGGGUUCUUACCCUGUGUUGAAACCAGGAAGUGAUCACUUUUGCAUAAACAGUGACAAGUACAAUUUGGAGGUUCCAUUUUAUCUCUAAGAAGUAAUUUUUACUCCACUGACAGUUAGUUUUAGGGUUUGGGUUUGGGAGUAAAGUUUGUUAAAGCUGAAGUGUGUCAUUUCUGCGCCAUUAGCACCACCAAAUGGAACAGCAAAAAUGUACAUUGUUUUCUAAACAGCUUUCUGAAUACGCCACCCAUCCUCCUUUGAUUAAAGAAACAGAUAGUCCCGCCCCCAACUCGAAACACACAGGUCGCUCAAAACAAAGGAAUUUUCAUAGCGCCACAGAGACAGAGAGAGAGUAUUUGCAGUUUUCAAGAAAAUUAACCUUUAGUUGUCUCUGCAUAUUAAGCAGAGAUAGGAGAAAUUAUUUUAACACCGAAAAAGUUACACACUUCAGCUUUAAUUACAUUUCUCUUCACUGUGUUACAUCAUUUACAUCUAAAAACAACUUGCUCCUUUGUGGGCAUUUCUUCUGGGAACUUGAGCUCACAUGUGCCCUUACGUUUAAAAACACUUCCCACUUCAGCCACUGGAGGCAGUGCUUUAAGUUUCAGUAAGUACAGUCAAAGUCCUUUUCGGCGGCCAUCUUUGGAAUGCUCCUGGGCUGGCUGGGCAGCUAUUUUCAAUGUAAGCAAGUGGUAUAAAAGUACAGGUCCUGUCUACUUGAAUGGGGUAGACUGAAAUCUGUAAAAGGGUUGGUCAAGAUUGCGAUCAAAGAACAUAUUUAAAAUCAGCAGUUAAAUCUGACAAUAAAUGUUUUUUUUUUUAAUUUUUUUAGUUCAGAUCACGAUUAAAAACCCCCCGCCAUUUUUCAGGCUGGUUCAGCUAAUGUCCGUAUCUGAAAGCUGAUUGGCUCUUUUACCUGUAAGGCGUUACUUCCUUCUCCACAUCUGUUGGCCGUUGGCUGUUCCAAAUUCUCCCACCCGUUUUAUUAACAGAGGCUGGUCUCUGCUAAAGUGUCUCUGGUACAGUGCGAGUUCAUCUCAAGAAAAGUUAACCUACUGUUGAAUUCAGUGUGAGAUCAGUCUUUUUAAGCAAUUAACAAAUAUCUAAUAUUCAAUAAAUAUUGUUUAAAAACUACGCAUAUCUGUAGCUGACACUCUGAGCUGUAUAACAAUGACAGUUUAGGUUGGAAAAAAUUGCAUAUUAACUGACAGAGCUUGCUAAAGUCACACAAAAAGAUCACAGAUAGUCUACACAAUUUCUAACACUUUUGGAACACAUUUAGCAAUUUUCCAAUUAAGUAUUUGACCUGUAAUAUUUUGUUCUUAUUUCCCAACAUGUUUACUUAUUUAAAAAUAAUUCUAUACCCCAAAAAUAUCCACUUUGAAAAAUAUCAGUUUUUCUUAGAAUAGCAAAAAUGCAACGAUGGCAUAAUUAUUUAUUCACACAAUGGAGCCUAUUCAGUAAAUCAUAACUAUUCCAAAUGAUUUUCAGCUGUUUUCUGUUCUGUUCCGGCAUUUUAAAAUGUCUUUGUUGUAUGGUAUUCAUGGCAUAUUAAAUAUACAUUACACAGAGAUGGGUAUUUUUUAUUAUUUUGAUUAUGACAGCAAUUAAAUCAUUGAUAUCAAUGGUCCUUGAAAAGUCACAUUUCUUAACUGUUCAGGGAUUCACCCCUACCACUUGUAAAAAUGUUAUUUUCAUAUACUUUAUAGUGAUGAAUUGUGUUGUGAAUUUAGAACUUUCACUUACUGUCUAAGCAUUGCUGUAACAUUUAUUUAUUUAUUUUUUUAAUUCAGCCCAAAAUAAUAAUAAUAAUAACCAGUGGCUUCCUGAAACCACUUUCAAGGAGGAUCAAUAUCAAUGCUUGGGUCUCUCAGGGGUAAAGCAAAAAAAAAAGACAUUCUGAAAUGCAUGUUAAUUUUUAAAUUAAACUCUUUAUUGUAAAUUGUUACACCGCUUAUAUAAUUUGUAAUGAAAAGAACUGUUAAAAUAAAAAGAAAAGGAAUUGCAAUAAAAAAAAAUUUCACAUACAA